GAUUGUGGCUCAGUGGUAGAGCGCUUGCCUAGCACGUGUGAGGCCCUGGGUUCUAUUCUCAGCACAGCA
This 69-nucleotide transfer RNA is filed under the name Marmota monax (woodchuck). RNAcentral's name for it is "tRNA.Ala". The stretch from base 4 to 64 matches the Rfam family "tRNA", at positions 6 to 65 of the family's 71-position model. From Rfam's summary of the family: Transfer RNA (tRNA) molecules are approximately 80 nucleotides in length. Their secondary structure includes four short double-helical elements and three loops (D, anti-codon, and T loops). Further hydrogen bonds mediate the characteristic L-shaped molecular structure. tRNAs have two regions of fundamental functional importance: the anti-codon, which is responsible for specific mRNA codon recognition, and the 3' end, to which the tRNAs corresponding amino acid is attached (by aminoacyl-tRNA synthetases). tRNAs cope with the degeneracy of the genetic code in two manners: having more than one tRNA (with a specific anti-codon) for a particular amino acid; and 'wobble' base-pairing, i.e. permitting non-standard base-pairing at the 3rd anti-codon position. Lineage: Eukaryota; Metazoa; Chordata; Mammalia; Rodentia; Sciuridae. The record is from RNAcentral.